This is an RNA transcript of Mirounga angustirostris (Northern elephant seal), 578 nucleotides long. It is a transcript of the gene named large ribosomal subunit protein uL24-like, with no coding region annotated. The transcript has a single exon. The record is from RefSeq and is a predicted model, not a curated record. Lineage: Eukaryota; Metazoa; Chordata; Mammalia; Carnivora; Phocidae.
CGCUCUUCCCUCUUGCUGGCCAUUGCAGCGGCCAAAAUGAAGUUUAAUCCCUUUGUGACUUCUGACCAGAGCAAGAACCGAAAGCGGCAUUUCAAUGCACCUUCCCACAUUCGCAGGAAGAUCAUGUCUUCCCCUCUUUCCAAAGAGCUGAGACAGAAGUACAACGUUCGAUCCAUGCCCAUCUGAAUGGUGAAGUACAUUCAACGAAGUACAACGUUCGAUCCAUGCCCAUCUGAUGAUGAAGUGCAGGUUGUGCGAGGACACUACAAAGGUCAGCAGAUUGGCAAAGUAGUCCAGGUUUACAGGAAGAAGUACGUCAUCUACAUUGAACGAGUGCAGCGAGAGAAGGCAAACGGCACAACCGUCCAUGUGGGCAUUCACCCUAGCAAGGUGGUUAUCACCAGACUAAAACUGGACAAAGACCGCAAAAAGAUCCUUGAACGUAAAGCCAAAUCUCGCCAAGUAGGAAAGGAAAAGGGCAAAUAUAAGGAAGAAACAAUUGAGAAGAUGCAGGAGUAAAGUAAUCUUAUAUGCGACUUGAAAUAAAAACUGUUAAAACGAAAAAAAAAAAAAAAGAA